Molecule: ribosomal RNA, 426 nt
Filed under: uncultured bacterium
Lineage: Bacteria
Description: partial 16S ribosomal RNA
Rfam family: Bacterial small subunit ribosomal RNA
Source: RNAcentral
GUUAGGAAUCUUCCACAAUGGGGGCAACCCUGAUGGAGCAACACCGCGUGCUGGAUGAAGGCCUUCGGGUCGUAAACAGCUUUUGUAUACGAAGAAUAUGACGGUAAUAUACGAAUAAGGGUCGGCUAACUACGUGCCAGCAGCCGCGGUCAUACGUAGGACCCAAGCGUUAUCCGGAGUGACUGGGCGUAAAGAGUUGCGUAGGCGGCUUAUUAAGCGAGUAGUGAAAUCUGGUGGCUCAACCAUCAACACAUUGCUCGAACUGAUAGGCUUGAGAAUGGCAGAGGUAGUUGGAAUUUCUUGUGUAGGAGUGAAAUCCGUAGAUAUAAGAAGGAACACCAAUGGCGUAGGCAGACUACUGGACCAUUUCUGACGCUGAGGCACGAAAGCGUGGGGAGCGAACCGGAUUAGAAACCCCUGUAGUCC